RNAcentral lists this ribosomal RNA (933 nucleotides) under uncultured Bacteroides sp. RNAcentral describes it as "bacterial SSU rRNA". It matches the Rfam family "Bacterial small subunit ribosomal RNA", at positions 8 to 954 of the family's 1533-position model. The record is from RNAcentral. Lineage: Bacteria; Pseudomonadati; Bacteroidota; Bacteroidia; Bacteroidales; Bacteroidaceae.
AGAGUUUGAUCCUGGCUCAGGACGAACGCUGGCGGCGCGCCUAACACAUGCAAGUCGAACGAGAGAUGAGGAGCUUGCUCUUCAAAUCGAGUGGCGAACGGGUGAGUAACGCGUGAGGAACCUGCCUCAAAGAGGGGGACAACAGUUGGAAACGACUGCUAAUACCGCAUAAGCCCACGGCUCGGCAUCGAGCAGAGGGAAAAGGAGCAAUCCGCUUUGAGAUGGCCUCGCGUCCGAUUAGCUAGUUGGUGAGGUAACGGCCCACCAAGGCGACGAUCGGUAGCCGGACUGAGAGGUUGAACGGCCACAUUGGGACUGAGACACGGCCCAGACUCCUACGGGAGGCAGCAGUGGGGGAUAUUGCACAAUGGGGGAAACCCUGAUGCAGCGACGCCGCGUGGAGGAAGAAGGUCUUCGGAUUGUAAACUCCUGUUGUUGAGGAAGAUAAUGACGGUACUCAACAAGGAAGUGACGGCUAACUACGUGCCAGCAGCCGCGGUAAAACGUAGGUCACAAGCGUUGUCCGGAAUUACUGGGUGUAAAGGGAGCGCAGGCGGGAAGACAAGUUGGAAGUGAAAUCCAUGGGCUCAACCCAUGAACUGCUUUCAAAACUGUUUUUCUUGAGUAGUGCAGAGGUAGGCGGAAUUCCCGGUGUAGCGGUGGAAUGCGUAGAUAUCGGGAGGAACACCAGUGGCGAAGGCGGCCUACUGGGCACCAACUGACGCUGAGGCUCGAAAGUGUGGGUAGCAAACAGGAUUAGAUACCCUGGUAGUCCACACCGUAAACGAUGAUUACUAGGUGUUGGAGGAUUGACCCCUUCAGUGCCGCAGUUAACACAAUAAGUAAUCCACCUGGGGAGUACGACCGCAAGGUUGAAACUCAAAGGAAUUGACGGGGGCCCGCACAAGCAGUGGAGUAUGUGGUUUAAUUCGA